This 209-nucleotide long non-coding RNA is filed under the name Vigna radiata. Its description in RNAcentral is "long non-coding RNA (VRAD_LNC014608)". Lineage: Eukaryota; Viridiplantae; Streptophyta; Magnoliopsida; Fabales; Fabaceae. The record is from RNAcentral.
AAAUUUUGGAGAUAUAAUUUGGAGCAUUGGGAAGGAGACAAAAUAAAUUCAAGAGUCUCCAAAUAGAGAUUUUAAAUUUAGUUAUAUUGUAAUUUAAUUGUUUAAACUUUUUGGACAAUCUUUUACACAUUGGACCAUUGUUAAAAAUUUAUGAUAGGCCCAAAGUUGUAGGACACUUAUCACCCUAGGGUUUUAGGAUGGACCCCACC